UGAUAUAUCUGUACUGUAGUGUUUUCGGACGGUACUAGCUCUUUCUGCCAAUAUAGGAGUAUUACAUAUAUGGCCUGAUCUGCUAAUUUUUACACGCGUAUGAAAAGUAACUAAACACCACAUCCGUCGGUAACGAACAUAAGCACAAAGUGCACUGGCAAACAGACGUCCAACCGUGGGAGCAAUAACUGCGCGAAUUCUGCUGACAUCGCGUCUUCUACAACUUACUGCUGUCACGCGGCCAAUCCGUGUGACCAAAUAAUAACUCUAGCUGCAAGGCAAAUUUACUUCGUCAAAGUUAGUUCUGAAGUAGCACUCAAUGAACAAAGGCCAUAAAAAUUAAUUAACGGGCUUUUAUUCAACUUGCACUCAUGUUGUAGAACGCAGCGACAUGUUGGCCUAGAACCAAAUGAUAAGGGAGUGCAGGUUAUGCUUAAAAAGGUUCAAAAUUCCCUUUGCCAUAUGACCGGAGAAACCGAGGAUGAAACCAUUCAAGAGAUUUCCAGCACACUCCCUCUCUCCAGUGUAGACUGCUCAAUCCAGGUGGAGGCAAAACUCAAGAAUCCCGAGUACAAACAGGCAAUGGUAAUUCACUGUAUGCAUACACACAUAUCGUCGUUUAAAGUACAAAACCGUUCGUCCUGAAAUAUACUAGUCUGAAAUGCGAUUACUUUAUAAAACAGAGAACCAUUUUGACAUACGACUGUUUUUACUCUCUACUAUAAAAUUUGGGCAACCUCACAUACGCGGUUUUUGAUUAUCUUGAUAAGCGGUUUUGUACUUUAAACGACGAUAUACAUAUACAUAUAUAGACGAAAGUAUCAGUGUGAAAGUUAAUACAACAAUUUUUUCGAUAUUUUUAUCCAAAUCAGAUAAGCUUCAUUUAUAAAAUAAAGGGGGCAGCGGGAAGCGUGAAUGACGUUAUCCGGAAAUUAUUCACCGAUGAAUUUCUGCAACUCUAUAAUUGGGACGGGCGGUAGGAGAAAAAAUCAUUACGCGCGUUAAAUCUGGUGGAGGAAAUUUUAACUUCACUAAAUUUAAACAAUCGUUUGACUCUUUUGUUGAAAUUGUUUCCAGAUGUAUUCAAAACCGAAGGACGACUAGCAUUGGAAAAAAAUAUUAAAAAGUCAAUUGACCUAGCCCAUAAUCGGCUUAAGCAAAAAAUCCGAUUAAGUCAAAAUAAACUAAAAUAAGUAUAAUAA
Molecule: long non-coding RNA, 1202 nt
Organism: Rhagoletis pomonella (apple maggot)
Lineage: Eukaryota; Metazoa; Arthropoda; Insecta; Diptera; Tephritidae
Exons: 2
Source: RefSeq, a predicted model, not a curated record